AGAGUUUGAUCAUGGCUCAGAACGAACGCUGGCGGCGUACUUAACACAUGCAAGUCGGACGAGAAAGGAGACUUCGGUCUCUGAGUACAGUGGCGCACGGGUGCGUAACACGUAAGCAAUCUACCACGAACUCUGGGAUAACCCUCCGAAAGGAGGGCUAAUACUGGAUAGAGUCCCCGAGGUGUAGGCUGCGGGGGGAAAACGGGCCUCUGUUUCAUGCUCGUGGUUUGGGAUGAGCUUGCGGCCCAUUAGCUUGUUGGCAGGGUAACGGCCUACCAAGGCUACGAUGGGUAGCUGGUCUGAGAGGAUGAUCAGCCACACUGGCACUGAGACACGGGCCAGACUCCUACGGGAGGCAGCAGUGGGGAAUUUUGCGCAAUGGGCGAAAGCCUGACGCAGUAACGCCGCGUGGAGGAUGAAGGCCUUCGGGUCGUAAACUCCUGUCAGGGGGAACGACGGAGCGAGGAUGAUAAAUCCUUGCUUCCAGACGGUACCUCCAAAGGAAGCCCCGGCUAAUUCCGUGCCAGCAGCCGCGGUAAUACGGAAGGGGCAAGCGUUGUUCGGAAUCAUUGGGCGUAAGGGGCGCGUAGGUGGUUCUGUAUGUCUAUCGUGAAAGCGUACGGCUCAACCGUAUUUUGUCGGUAGAAACUGCAGGACUUGAGGCUGGGAGGGGCUGGUGGAAUUCCCUGUGUAGCGGUGAAAUGCGUAGAGAUGGGGGAGAACACUCGUGGCGAAGGCGGCCAGCUAGACCAGUUCUGACACUGAGGCGCGAAAGCGUGGGGAGCAAACAGGAUAGAUACCCUGGUAGUCCCGCCGUAAACGAUGUCGAUUUGGAGGCUGUGUCCUUGAGACGUGGCUUCCGGA
Molecule: ribosomal RNA, 864 nt
Filed under: uncultured bacterium
Lineage: Bacteria
Description: bacterial SSU rRNA
Rfam family: Bacterial small subunit ribosomal RNA
Source: RNAcentral